RNAcentral lists this ribosomal RNA (480 nucleotides) under uncultured bacterium. RNAcentral describes it as "bacterial SSU rRNA". It matches the Rfam family "Bacterial small subunit ribosomal RNA", at positions 29 to 506 of the family's 1533-position model. The record is from RNAcentral.
AUGAACGCUAGCGGCAGGCCUAAUACAUGCAAGUCGAACGAUACCAAGAGGCUUGCUUCUUGGAAAAGUGGCGCACGGGUGCGUAACGCGUAUGCAACCUACCUUAAUCAGGGGUAUAGCCCGAAGAAAUUCGGAUUAACACCGCAUAAAAACACAGAAUAGCAUUAUUCAAUGUUCAAAUAUUUAUAGGAUUAAGAUGGGCAUGCGUGUCAUUAGCUAGUUGGCGGGGUAACGGCCCACCAAGGCGACGAUGACUAGGGGAUCUGAGAGGAUGACCCCCCACACUGGUACUGAGACACGGACCAGACUCCUACGGGAGGCAGCAGUAAGGAAUAUUGGUCAAUGGAGGCAACUCUGAACCAGCCAUGCCGCGUGCAGGAAGACGGCCCUAUGGGUUGUAAACUGCUUUUAUCCGGGAAUAAACCUCUGCUCGUGAGCAGAGCUGAAUGUACCGGAAGAAUAAGGAUCGGCUAACUCCGU